Molecule: ribosomal RNA, 402 nt
Filed under: bacterium
Lineage: Bacteria
Description: partial 16S ribosomal RNA
Rfam family: Bacterial small subunit ribosomal RNA
Source: RNAcentral
UGGGGAAUUUUGCACAAUGGGGGAAACCCUGAUGCAGCGACGCCGCGUGAUUUAGAAGGCCUUCGGGUUGUAAAAAUCUUUUCUAUGGGAAGAAAAUGACAGUACAAUAGGAAUAAGGACCGGCUAAUUACGUGCCAGCAGCCGCGGUAAUACGUAAGGUCCGAGCGUUGUCCGGAAUCAUUGGGCGUAAAGGGUACGUAGGCGGGUAAGCAAGUUAGAAGUGAAAUCCUAUAGCUCAACUAUAGUAAGCUUUUAAAACUGCUCAUCUUGAGGUAUGGAAGGGAAAGUGGAAUUCCUAGUGUAGCGGUGAAAUGCGCAGAUAUUAGGAGGAAUACCGGUGGCGAAGGCGACUUUCUGGCCAUAACCUGACGCUGAGGUACGAAAGCGUGGGUAGCAAACAGG